GUUUCGACAGCGGAUGUCGAAGCAGGGGAAGCGUGUCGAGGAAGCGGCAAUGAUCUCGUAAACCAUAUGUCGCAAAAAAUAAUCGCCAACACCAAGCGCGAUUCCUUCGCCCUCGCUGCCUAAGUAGCGAGCUUGCGAAGUGUCAGCCCGNNCGGAUCCUGGCAUCAGCUAGGGAACUAAACCUCUAGACCCGGUCACGGGGUGCAGAGGGAAACCAAACAGUGACUGAGCCCGUCGGAGACUUGUCCGCGUGAUCUCCGGGGCCGAGAAAAUCGCAGCGGACUGCACACGGAGAAGCCCUG
Molecule: transfer-messenger RNA, 302 nt
Filed under: Acinetobacter soli
Lineage: Bacteria; Pseudomonadati; Pseudomonadota; Gammaproteobacteria; Moraxellales; Moraxellaceae
Description: partial transfer-messenger RNA
Rfam family: transfer-messenger RNA
About the family: Bacterial tmRNA, also known as 10Sa RNA or SsrA, is named for its dual tRNA and mRNA-like properties. Its role is to liberate the mRNA from a stalled ribosome.
Source: RNAcentral